GGUUUCCGUAGGUGAACCUGCGGAAGGAUCAUUGUCGAAAGCUGCACAGUUAAGCCACUUGUUAACCUGUUUUUUAACUUCUCCUUGUUACUGGUGGGAAGGCCGCCCCGGCAGCCUCGCACCAUGACAUGAACAAUUUUCGGCGCGGAAUGCGUCAAGGAGUAUGGACAUUGAUGUAAGACUAGCCCUCUUGCUGCCGCUUGGUUGUGUUGAGGGUGUUUCGCAUCGUUGAAGUUUAUGGUCUAAUGACUCUCGGCAACGGAUAUCUCGGCUCUUGCAUCGAUGAAGAACGUAGCGAAAUGCGAUACUUGGUGUGAAUUGCAGAAUCCCGUGAACCAUCGAGUCUUUGAACGCAAGUUGCGCCUGAAGCUAUUUGGCUGAGGGCACGUCUUCCUGGGUGUCAUGCUUUGUGUUGCCCCCUUACCCUCCUAUCAUGCGGAUGAGAGGGGCGGAGAUUGGUCUCCUAUGUGUCUUGCGCACAUGGGUGUCUUGAAUGUGGAGCUUCAUGAGUGAGCACUGUUGAUGAUCGGUGGUUGGAUGGGCCUUGCGCCCUAGAAGAAGCAUCUUGUUAGGAAGUGUCGCUCUGAGUUUGCUAGCUGGAUUUGAAUUGGUUUGAAUUCUUGGUGAAUAAAACUAUGAUUCGUCAACGGGUGCGACCCCAGGUUA
RNAcentral lists this ribosomal RNA (666 nucleotides) under Limonium axillare. RNAcentral describes it as "eukaryotic LSU rRNA". The stretch from base 248 to 403 matches the Rfam family "5.8S ribosomal RNA". Lineage: Eukaryota; Viridiplantae; Streptophyta; Magnoliopsida; Caryophyllales; Plumbaginaceae. The record is from RNAcentral.